RNAcentral lists this ribosomal RNA (732 nucleotides) under uncultured Sphingomonas sp. RNAcentral's name for it is "bacterial SSU rRNA". It matches the Rfam family "Bacterial small subunit ribosomal RNA", at positions 770 to 1502 of the family's 1533-position model. Lineage: Bacteria; Pseudomonadati; Pseudomonadota; Alphaproteobacteria; Sphingomonadales; Sphingomonadaceae. The record is from RNAcentral.
UAACAGGAUUAGAUACCCUGGUAGUCCACGCCGUAAACGAUGAUAACUAGCUGUCGGGGCUCUUAGAGCUUCGGUGGCGCAGCUAACGCAUUAAGUUAUCCGCCUGGGGAGUACGGCCGCAAGGUUAAAACUCAAAUGAAUUGACGGGGGCCUGCACAAGCGGUGGAGCAUGUGGCUUAAUUCGAAGCAACGCGCAGAACCUUACCAGCGUUUGACAUGUCCGGACGAUUUCGGGAGACCGAUCUCUUCCCUUCGGGGACUGGAACACAGGUGCUGCAUGGCUGUCGUCAGCUCGUGCCGUGAGAUGUUGGGUUAAGUCCCGCAACGAGCGCAACCCUCGUCCUUAGUUGCCAUCAUUUAGUUGGGCACUCUAAGGAAACCGCCGGUGAUAAGCCGGAGGAAGGUGGGGAUGACGUCAAAUCCUCAUGGCCCUUACGCGCUGGGCUACACACGUGCUACAAUGGCGGUGACAGUGGGCAGCAAUCUCGCAAGGGUGAGCUAAUCUCCAAAAGCCGUCUCAGUUCGGAUUGUUCUCUGCAACUCGAGAGCAUGAAGGCGGAAUCGCUAGUAAUCGCGGAUCAGCAUGCCGCGGUGAAUACGUUCCCAGGCCUUGUACACACCGCCCGUCACACCAUGGGAGUUGGAUUCACCCGAAGGCAGUGCGCUAACCGCAAGGAGGCAGCUGACCACGGUGGGUUCAGCGACUGGGGUGAAGUCGUAACAAGGUAACCA